This 433-nucleotide ribosomal RNA is filed under the name uncultured bacterium. RNAcentral describes it as "partial 16S ribosomal RNA". It matches the Rfam family "Bacterial small subunit ribosomal RNA", at positions 29 to 507 of the family's 1533-position model. The record is from RNAcentral.
AACGAACGCUGGCGGCAUGCCUAACACAUGCAAGUCGAACGAGACCUUCGGGUCUAGUGGCGCACGGGUGCGUAACGCGUCGGAACCUUCCCUUAUGUUCGGAAUAACUCCCCGAAAGGGGUGCUAAUACCGGAUAAUGUCUUCGGACCAAAGAUUUAUCGCCUUUGGAUGGUCCCGCGUUGGAUUAGCUAGUUGUUAGGGUAAAAGCCUACCAAGGCGACGAUCCAUAGCUGGUCUGAGAGGAUGAUCAGCCACACUGGGACUGAGACACGGCCCAGACUCCUACGGGAGGCAGCAGUGGGGAAUAUUGGAACAUGGGCGAAAGCCUGAUCCAGCAAUGCCGCGUGAGUGAUGAAGGCAUUAGGGUUGUAAAGCUCUUUUACCCGGGAUGAUAAUGACAGUACCGGGAGAAUAAGCUCCGGCUAACUCCGUG